GGAAAUUUUUUCGGUGCAAGAUGAGCUCGCGGCCUAUCAGCUUGUUGGUGGGGUAAUGGCCUACCAAGGCGUCGACGGGUAGCCGGCCUGAGAGGGUGUACGGCCACAUUGGGACUGAGAUACGGCCCAGACUCCUACGGGAGGCAGCAGUGGGGAAUAUUGCACAAUGGGCGGAAGCCUGAUGCAGCGACGCCGCGUGGGGGAUGAAGGCCUUCGGGUUGUAAACUCCUUUCGACAGGGACGAAGCGUAAGUGACGGUACCUGUAUAAGAAGCACCGGCUA
Molecule: ribosomal RNA, 282 nt
Filed under: Corynebacterium striatum
Lineage: Bacteria; Bacillati; Actinomycetota; Actinomycetes; Mycobacteriales; Corynebacteriaceae
Description: partial 16S ribosomal RNA
Rfam family: Bacterial small subunit ribosomal RNA
Source: RNAcentral